UUCUGAAAAUGAUGUGGGCACUGAUAGUUUAUCAGAGGCAUUAGCUGUGCUGAUCUAAUUUAUUUGCAUGUCAGUAUGAUCCUGAA
Small nucleolar RNA from Tripterygium wilfordii, 86 nucleotides. RefSeq annotates it as small nucleolar RNA Z122. The record is from RefSeq and is a predicted model, not a curated record. NCBI's taxonomy places the organism in Eukaryota, Viridiplantae, Streptophyta, Magnoliopsida, Celastrales, Celastraceae. The transcript has a single exon.